Molecule: ribosomal RNA, 304 nt
Filed under: uncultured bacterium
Lineage: Bacteria
Description: partial 16S ribosomal RNA
Rfam family: Bacterial small subunit ribosomal RNA
Source: RNAcentral
CAGCAGCCGCCGCGGUAAAACGGAGGGUGCAAGCGUUACUCGGAAUCACUGGGCGUAAAGGACGCGUAGGCGGAUUAUCAAGUCUCUUGUGAAAUCUAACGGCUUAACCGUUAAACUGCUUGGGAAACUGAUAAUCUAGAGUAAGGGAGAGGCAGAUGGAAUUCUUGGUGUAGGGGUAAAAUCCGUAGAUAUCAAGAAGAAUACCUAUUGCGAAGGCGAUCUGCUGGAACUUAACUGACGCUAAUGCGUGAAAGCGUGGGGAGCAAACAGGAUUAGAUACCCCAGUAGUCCCUGUCUCUUAUAC